This 148-nucleotide non-coding RNA is filed under the name Homo sapiens (human). The record is from Rfam by way of RNAcentral. Lineage: Eukaryota; Metazoa; Chordata; Mammalia; Primates; Hominidae.
GCUGGGCAUGGUGGUGCGUGCCUGUAGUCCCAGCUACUCAGGAGGCUGAGGCAGGAGAAUUGCUUGAACCCGGGAGGCGGAGGUUGCAGUGAGCUGAGAUCAUGCCACUGCACUCCAGCCUGGGUGACAGAGCGAGACUCCGUCUCAA